CCAUUAUUAAAUCUAACAUUUAUUAUAAUUAAAUUUAAUAUAUAUAUUAAAUCAGCCAACUCUGUUGUUGUAAACGUGGAUCUGAGGAACCGGAGCAAAAGUAGUUGGCAGAGAAAGAAUGACAGGGAAUUUUAGAGAACAGUGGAAAAAGUUUUUGUUAAGUAUGACGAGUCAAAGGGGGAAGCUCAACAAGCCGAGCUUCCAGCUCUGAGUCUUUUCUUUAACUGAAGCUCAGCUUGACGAAGGCUCAGCCAUCCAAGCCCAACUUGCCGCUUUCUCCAUGCCAAGAAAAGAGACAAAGAAAUUCCGCCGACAAGAAACUCCACUGCUCUAGUCUCUGCACCAGACAGACGUCUCUUAUAAACGCCAGUUACAGAGACCCAGGAAAAGAAGAGAAUAAUGAGAUAUUACCAUGGAUCCAGGAGGAGGAGGAGAGUGUCCAUACACUCAUUCCCCGUCGCGGUUGCCGUUUUCACCGGCUUUGGCUUACUGAUGCUUAUACUGAGAUCUGUUGAUCCACCCUCUCACGGCGCCGUUUUUCUUUCGAGUCUCGAGGUAGAAGGAGAUGAUAGAGGUGGAGUGAGAGGAGGUCUAAAUUCAAGCUUUGCCUUACGAAAUGGCACCAUUUCUGAAGUAAAGGAUGUUUAUAAACAGAGAAGUGGAGGUUUAAAAUCGUGCGCUACGGUUGAAGAAAUGGGCGAGAGUUUCAAGGGAGCCGUCUGGAAGGAGAGUCUACGAGUGAGAAGAAUCAUCCAGGAGCACUUCGCUGUGAACGGUGCUUCAAGAAUUCAAAAUCUUCCUCCAGAGCAGUUCUGCAAACAUGGCUUUGUCUUUGGGAAGGCAUCAGAGGCAGGUUUUGGCAAUGAAAUGUACAAGAUCUUAAAUGCUGCGGCAUUAAGUAUAAUGUUGAACCGGUCCCUGAUAAUUGGGCAGACCAGGCAUAUUGGUUCUUUCUCAAGCCUUUCUGUUUUUCAUUUGAAUUAUAAUUAUAACUUUCAGCAAAUACUAGGAUUUUGCAUUAUCUGCUUGCUAGCAUCAUUUCAUACUCUCUGUCACUAUUGCCCCUUAGAUAAGCCCAAGAUGUAUUGUGGAGUUCAGAAAUGGCGCCCAACAGUAACACCACAUGGAUAGUGUACCAUGACAAUGUCUCAAUUAAACAUUAACCAGGAAUUUGAAUGAUUUAGGAAAUUGAAGCAGAGCUUGUUACAGUGAAAAAAGAAAAAGAAAUAGGAGAUUCUUGGUGCCGUGAACAUUACCCAGGUACUGUAGCAGCAGAGGGGAAGAAAUACUCAAAUACUCAAAAAUAUCAUCAUAAAAUACUAAGAAAUAGUUAGGUGAUUAUAGAGAACUAAUACUACACUUACUAGGAUUGGGAAUCCCAAACUAGGAAAAUUCUAAAAAAAAAAUACUAUAUAUAGUAUUAGUAUGGUCAAACAAAAUUGAUUAUUAAAAUUCUUAAAUAGUACCUAAACUUGAACUUACUAUAUAGAAAUGUAUAAGCAAAAUCUGAAUUUCAUAAUUAAAAAUGAAAUAAAAAAAUCCCUAAAUCUUGUUUUUCUUGAAUGCAUCAUUGACAUUGUAGGAAGAAGACAUAUUUGAUAUGUCCUCCAAAAUUGGUGGUCUCCAUGGCACAACAGAGCAUGUAAUAGUUAUAAAAUUUGGAGAUGUCUGGUUUUUUUAUUAGUACUGAUUAUUGCUUCACUUCUACUUGUCAGGGGCAAAUAUCCUUUUGGCAAUUAUAUUUCUUAUAGCAAUCAUUCUUUCACAUUGAAGAAAGUCAAACACCUGUGGCGAAAAAAUGGUUGUGUAAAGAACUAUGGAAGGCAUCUGGUAAUGAGGAUUGAUGACUUUGAGAAGCCAGCUAAAACAAAUGUCCUCUGCAGCAAUUGGAGAAAGUGGAAGCAACCAAUCAUAUGGUUUCAAAAUACAACAGAUGCUGUGGCCUGUCAAUUUUUCUUGAAGAACGUAUACCGUGAAAUGAGAGAUGCAGCUUCUGAUUUAUUUGGAAAGCCAGAAGAUUUUCAAUCUCGGCCUAAUGUUUUUGGGGAGUUGAUGAAAGUUCUCGUAUCCCCUUCAGAAGAUGUUGUGGAAGCAGUCAGCUGGGUUCUUGGUGGUGGGGCAGAUCCUGAUGUAUCAUUGCACAUGCGGAUGCUUAUGAGCAGGUCAGUGAGAGCCACACAGGCAGCAUUGAACUGCAUCAAAAAAGCCUUGCGUAAUCUACGCCAAACAUCAAGGCCUAGGGUGGUUUUAGUAUCAGAUACUCCAUCUUUUAUAAGAAGUAUUCUUCCAAACAUAAAUGGAUUUGCAGAGGUAAUUUACUUGAUGUACAAAAUGAUGCUGUUAGUAGCAAUGAUUUGCUCAUGCAAUGAAAAUUAUUGUUCAUGUUCAACCAAAACCUUAAUGCUUUUCUCUUUAACUAAAAUUUUAAUGUAAUAUUAAUUGGCAAUGCAAUAACAUUCUCCACUUAUGUUGAUUGAGUUAAUUUUAUUCUAGAUUCAAAAUUAAGUUUGAGUUGAUUUCAGAUCCAAGAUCAUGGGAUUGCUCAUUCUGAAUUAUGAAUGACUUGCUUUUUCCAGGUUCUUUAUUUUGAUUAUAAACAUUUCCAAGGAAACAUCUCUCAAAGUGUCAACCUAUCGCACAGUUUAGAUUUUAGAGUGAAGGAUUGGGGCCCUGCACCCAGAUGGGUUGCAUUUGUGGACUUCUUUCUUGCAUCACGUGCAAAACAUACUGUUGUCUCUGGUGCUCAGAGACGUGUUGGGACUACCUAUGCACAAUUAAUUGCAGCAUUGGCGGCAGCAAACCACCUAGGGGAAAACUCUACUGGUUCAAGUUUUUCAUUCUUGAGCAGCUUCCAAAGUAAUUUGUUAACAGGUGGUUUAAAGUUGCAGGUUGGGUGGGGACAUGUUUGGAAUAGAUUUGCUGGUCCUUUGAGUUGUAGGAACCAGCCCAAUCAAUGUGCUUUCACACCCCUUCUCCCUCCAGCUUGGUGGGAUGGUCUUUGGCAAUCCCCUAUUCCAUGGGACGUCCGCAGGCUAAUGGCAUUUGGCAUCAAACUAUCUGGUUUUGGCACAGUUGAUGAGGCUCAUCUUCGAUCUUUCUGUAAGUCAAAGAAAAGUACAGUGAAAACUGUUUUGAUUAUAUGAGCAUAAUUUUUUAGACUUGCAGCAUUUCCAUUUGGGAAACAAAUGAAAAGGUUUCAGUUGAAAAUCGCCCAAGACAGCACAAUAGAAACUUAUCUGCAGUCAGUUCAAGACUAUUGAUGUAUUAGAGAGAAUUAAGUGAUGAAUAGAAAGUAAAGCAAAGAAAUUUUCAUUUUAUUUCUGAAAUAUUAAUCAGCAAUUGACUAUCCAUAUUUGAUUAAUAUUCCUGUAACCUAAUGUUGUUUGUAUUUUUUAGGUAAUUAUCAAUAGAAUUCUCAGUUUAGCUUUGUGCCA
RNAcentral lists this unclassified non-coding RNA (3434 nucleotides) under Hevea brasiliensis (rubber tree). The record is from RNAcentral. Lineage: Eukaryota; Viridiplantae; Streptophyta; Magnoliopsida; Malpighiales; Euphorbiaceae.